AGCAGCCGCGGUAAUUCCAGCUCCAAUAGCGUAUAUUAAAGUUGCUGCAGUUAAAAAGCUCGUAGUUGAAUUUCGGGACUGAUAUGUCGGUCGUGCCUCGGUACGUACUGGUAUUUUUGGUUUCUCCCUUCUGACGAACCUUGAUGUCAUUAAUUCGGUGUCUUGGGAAAUCAGGACUGUUACUUUGAAAAAAUUAGAGUGUUUAAAGCAGGCUCACGCUUGAAUACAUUAGCAUGGAAUAAUGAAAUAGGACGUUUGAUUCUAUUUUGUUGGUUUCUAGGAUCGACGUAAUGAUUAAUAGGGAUAGUUGGGGGCAUUAGUAUUCAAUUGUCAGAGGUGAAAUUCUUGGAUUUAUUGAAGACUAACUACUGCGAAAGCAUUUGCCAAGGAUGUUUUCAUUAAUCAAGAACGAAAGUUAGGGGAUCGAAGACGAUCAGAUACCGUCGUAGU
RNAcentral lists this ribosomal RNA (450 nucleotides) under uncultured Glomeromycotina. RNAcentral describes it as "SSU rRNA". It matches the Rfam family "Eukaryotic small subunit ribosomal RNA", at positions 569 to 1024 of the family's 1831-position model. Lineage: Eukaryota; Fungi; Glomeromycota. The record is from RNAcentral.